Molecule: non-coding RNA, 202 nt
Filed under: Lacimicrobium alkaliphilum
Lineage: Bacteria; Pseudomonadati; Pseudomonadota; Gammaproteobacteria; Alteromonadales; Alteromonadaceae
Source: RNAcentral
AUAAUGGCCGCCGAUUAUGGUGCUUUUGGUGAUAACCAAAAGUUAAACGGGAAGUUCGCAAGACGCUGCCCCCGCAACGGUAAGCAAGAGACUGCAGCACGGUGCCACUGUCAUAUAAUGAUGGGAAGGCGCUGCAACAACUUAUCUGUACUAACAGAUAAGCCUUGCCAGCCCGGAUACCGGCCUGAUCAGGUUGCCGAGA